CAAUUGAACAUCAGAGGCGUCUUCCCGAUUUGACAAGCUCUCUGUGAUUAUCAUGUCGAGGGUAGAGACCGGGUUGCAGAUGGAAAUCGAAUGCAAUUGGGAGACAAAUUCGAAAGGUUUGCUCCUGUAUAAAUGGAGAGGCGCCGUCUCUGUUUCUGCACUCCACCUUGAUCGAGAGCGCACAUUGGGUCUUGAAUCAGGUCUUGGACUUUCCUCCACCACAAACUCUAAGAUACCGUUUGAAGAGGUAGAUUUGCAGUAGGCUUGUAGACACUUCCUUGUAGACCUUGUAUUUGAGACUUUGGGUGCGGCUUCUGUACUUGUAAGACCUCCUGACGAUCAUAUCUUCAUACUUCUGAAGCCUUUGUUAUUCUGUGCAAUUCUUGAAUACUCCUCCGAUACCAAACCGACGUGGUCUUUUGAGAGGUUAUCUUGAUAUCAAAACAUGGCGGCACCGAAUGUAUUUGCAGAUGCCUUGUCUUCUUCUCUGUAUUGCGGCUUGUUGCCUUGCUGACUGCCACCACACAAGAAGCAGGAAUUUUGAUGCAUCUUCCGUGGAUUCUUUUGGCUUGCUGUAGUUGUCAUGGCACUGGUUGUAGACUAGAAGCAGGAACUUUGACGCAUCUUUUGGGACUGCUGUGGCCUGUUCCUUUCUUCUUCAGUUGCAGCAAAUUGUAUGCACGCUGGCAUUUGCUGUGAGUACAUCGGGGACAUCUUCGUCGGAGUACGACUUGAGCCACUUCUUUGGUGCAUGACUAUGAUGUCCUUGCUGCAGUGAAGAGCCAUUGGCGAGGUUUUCAUGGAACUUUAUCAGACGAGUUUUGUCGCAGCUUUAGUCUUGUUGAAUCCGGAGCAUUGGCAUUUGUUGUGAACACGGGGGCAGCUUCAUUGAGAUAUUAGACUUCGUCUUCACUGCUUUUAUUUGUUGUAGAUGACUUGAGGAGUCACUUCUUUGAUGCCUGACUG
RNA transcript from Fragaria vesca subsp. vesca, 966 nucleotides. RefSeq lists it as uncharacterized. The transcript is spliced from 2 exons. NCBI's taxonomy places the organism in Eukaryota, Viridiplantae, Streptophyta, Magnoliopsida, Rosales, Rosaceae. The record is from RefSeq and is a predicted model, not a curated record.